RNAcentral lists this ribosomal RNA (245 nucleotides) under uncultured archaeon. RNAcentral's name for it is "partial 16S ribosomal RNA". It matches the Rfam family "Archaeal small subunit ribosomal RNA", at positions 474 to 718 of the family's 1478-position model. The record is from RNAcentral.
UCCCGGCGGUCCAAGUCGCAUCCACAAUUAUUGGGUCUAAAACAUCCGUAGCUUGUUUUUUAAGUCUCUUGUGAAAUUCCAUAUCUCAAGUAUGGAGCGUGCAAGAGAUACUAUUUAACUAGAGACCGGAAGACGCAAAGAGUACGACGGAGGUAGCGGUAAAAUGUGUUAAUCUUUGUCGGACUAACAAUGGCGAAGGCACUUUGCGAGUACGGAUCUGACAGUGAUGGAUGAAGGCUAGGGGC